Long non-coding RNA from Ictalurus punctatus (channel catfish), 1697 nucleotides. RefSeq lists it as uncharacterized. The transcript is spliced from 3 exons. The record is from RefSeq and is a predicted model, not a curated record. NCBI's taxonomy places the organism in Eukaryota, Metazoa, Chordata, Actinopteri, Siluriformes, Ictaluridae.
UGACUGAAAGGGGGGGGUGCUGCUGGGGGGGUCCCGGCUCAGGAGAGUGGGGCGCUUACAGGGCCGUGGUUUAUGUAUUGAAAACAUUGGAUUUGGUGGCACAAGGAUUGCCAACACGGUGCGUGCCGCGGCUGGAGAUGCUCUCUUAGUGCAGAUCACUGGGAAAACUGCUCUCUCACACAUUGAUCUUACGUUCAUCACACCAGGUCAUUUCUAUUUUGAAAGAACAGGAUAUGGGGAUAUGGGGUUGAUCUAUGUACCACCCAAAAUGAAAUUCUUAAACCUAUUAGUGUGCCAAACACACCAACUGUAGUGUUGUAGUGCCUAAUUAAUUAUGUGGAGCCAGACACUGAGAACACUCACGAUUGCCUAGCCGAAAUUCAUAUUUCCUCAAGCUUAAAAGUUUCGGGUCUGAAAUUUCACAAACAUUAUGAACACCCUGUUCUGCCCAAUUGGUUGAAUUUAAAGCUAUCACUACAGAGUGCAACCUGGUUAAGGGUAAAACUGCUAAUAUAUAAAUAUAUAGAUAAAUACUGACGUUUAGGCCCAUGGAUUGUGUUGUCUGUUUAGAGUUGUUUAAAUGCAAUGCGGUUUUCGAAAAACCGUUGGAACGCCACUUAUCGAGCAAAUAGUUUAAUUGAAUUCUGAUUCUGACUGCACUUCUCACUGUAUGUAUUACAGAUACCCAUGAGUUUUAGCCAGUGUGGGAGGGGGAAGGUAGAGGAGUGAUCUCUUACUUGCAGGCAACGGUGUGAUAUUUUAAAAAAAUUUUCUUGACCAGGGAUAGGUCCUAGAUCUGGCAUACCAUCUCAAGUUACCGUAAUUUGUGCUGAUACUAAACGUAUUUCGGUAGAUGCUCUACCUCUUGCACUAAUGACCUAUUGUUAUUAGGUCACUGCAUGCGGACUAACAGCAAUAUGUAAUUAACACAGCAUGAAAUGCUUACGGGUAGACCCAUGUCUGUGUCUGUUCCUCAUGAUGGACUGCCACUGGAGUAAUUGCAGAUGAAUCAAAAACAUAUAUGAGACCACUAACUAUUAUGUAUGAAGCUAUCUAUUCACAGGAAAAGAGCUGGGUGCAUUGUUAUGGGUGAGGCGUUACCGCCUCAACGGGGGGAGGUGUUCACCCGGAGGUGGGAGACCCGGCGCAGCGAGAGAAUGUUGACUACAAGGCAGCAGCGGACUACAAGAACGUGCGACCCCUGGAGGAUGCUACUCCAAUGACGAGAUGGUGGGGAACACGUGAAGGUCCGGUACGAAGCUGCUGUGUACGAAGCUGCCGUCAAUGGGGGGUCUGCUAUCGUAGAACUCUCAAGUCAGUGGCAGACAGGGUUCGUCCGACCCUCCUCCUGGAUUAUCCUCGCUUUCUAUUGGCUAGUCAGCGCUCUACACCUACGUGUGACUGGCCCCUGCGUGGCAGGAAGCUGCCUUAAUCACGAUGAACCCAGGCUACGCAGGCAGGACUGAGCUCCGGGACAACCUGGAGGCCGCUUCAAUCCAAGUUACUCAAGGAUGACGCAGAACUUAAAAUAAAAUAAACUGAUAAAUAGUAAAGAACACCAAAGUUUACAUUUACUCCAAAUAUUUCUUUACUAUCAAAGGUCAUUAUCACAGGAUCCCUGGAAUCAGGCACUAGGAGGAAAUUCCAGGACAAAUUAGGAAAUAGAAUUAACUGACAUUUGCAAAUUCUUUGCAACU